Girardinichthys multiradiatus is the source of this 961-nucleotide long non-coding RNA. RefSeq lists it as uncharacterized. The record is from RefSeq and is a predicted model, not a curated record. Lineage: Eukaryota; Metazoa; Chordata; Actinopteri; Cyprinodontiformes; Goodeidae. The transcript is spliced from 4 exons.
CAAGACUUAAGACGCUGAUUGUACAAUGGAGUACGUCAUAUCCGCCAGUGAAAGGCAGCAAUGCGCCACAAGGCGCGUAGUCUGCCGGAACAGAAGAAGAAGAAGGAGGAAAAGGAGGGAAAAAUAAGAGAAGCAGCCAUUUGUAGAUGAGGUUUGUGUGAAACCGAGGCAGCGACGAUGCAUCUCUCCGUGAAGAACCGGCAGACUCCCCGGAGUCAAAUGGACGGCGGGUGGGACUCUGGACACGGAAAACACGGAGUUCCUGACCGACGUUCUGCCGGUGAAGCUGAUCGGGAUGAACUGUGACAUGAUGAAGCGGUACAUCGAGUUUGUGGCUGACAGGCUGCUGCUGGAGCUCGGCUUCUCAAAGGUCCUUGAACCUCUUUGACUUCAUGGAGAACACCUCCAGAGAGAAAGAGCUGCGAAGCCUGAAGGCUCACCUGUGAUGCUACUUCUGCCUGAUUGGACCGACACAACUGCCAUAUUCCUUUCAUUGAUACAGAGCACUUUGACCUUCUUUACAGUUUUUCUGCUCCAGAAGUUUAAGAACCUUUAGGUCCAUCCUACCUCAUUCAGUUUAGUUACAGUCUUUAUGUGGAAGAUUUCUUCAGUCCUCCUAAUCUUCUCAGAAGCAAGUUUUGUCAUCAUCUGUGUGAAGCAUUACGUAUCUGUGUUUGUGAAAGACUUUCUUUUGUGUAGAAAACAAGUCUGAACCUAACUGAAGGUCCCAGUUUUCUGAGUCGAGACCUUCUCCCCAAGAUCUCCUUGGGCUGUGCUGACCAUCGGGUGUAUUAAUGACUGACCCUGCUGAGAAGCUGUCUGGUCAGAUGUUGAUAUGAAUGAAUGAACUGAGCUCCGGCUCCAGAGUACCAGGGGUCAUCUAGCCUACUACCACAUGUAGUUCAUUCUUUUCAAACAACGCUUCCUUAGAAAACAUGCAAGCUACACGAUGAACCAAUCA